Molecule: unclassified non-coding RNA, 324 nt
Filed under: Hevea brasiliensis (rubber tree)
Lineage: Eukaryota; Viridiplantae; Streptophyta; Magnoliopsida; Malpighiales; Euphorbiaceae
Source: RNAcentral
CUCAGAACAGCCUAAUGGUUUAGUUCAAUUACAAAAGCAACUACUUCGUGAUACAUUGAAAUUAAAAAAUUUCAAGAAUAUAAGUAGUAUUGACAGUGGCAUCCACUUGAUCAAACGUUACAAAAGAGUUUUUGUUGUUCUUGAUGAUUUGGAUCAAUUGAAACAAGCGGAUGCAUUGGUAGGAGACCGAAAUUGGUUUGGCCCCGGAAGUCGAAUCAUCAUUACAACGAGAAAUGCUCAUUUGCUAGAUCAACUCCAAGUGGUCUUACAAUAUGAGGUCAGAGAACUGAAUCAUGAAGAGUCCCUUGAGCUUUUCAGCUGGAC